GAUGAACGCUGGCGGCGUGCCUAAUACAUGCAAGUCGAGCGAACAGAUGAGGAGCUUGCUCCUCUGACGUUAGCGGCGGACGGGUGAGUAACACGUGGAUAACCUACCUAUAAGACUGGGAUAACUUCGGGAAACCGGAGCUAAUACCGGAUAAUAUAUUGAACCGCAUGGUUCAAUAGUGAAAGACGGUUUUGCUGUCACUUAUAGAUGGAUCCGCGCCGCAUUAGCUAGUUGGUAAGGUAACGGCUUACCAAGGCAACGAUGCGUAGCCGACCUGAGAGGGUGAUCGGCCAAACUGGAACUGAGACACGGUCCAGACUCCAACGGGAGGCAGCAGUAGGGAAUCUUCCGAAAGGGGCGAAAGCCUGACGGAGCAACGCCGCGUGAGUGAUGAAGGUCUUCGGAUCGUAAAACUCUGUUAUUAGGGAAAAAAAAAUGUGUAAGUAACUAUGCACGUCUUGACGGUACCUAAUCAGAAAGCCACGGCUAACUACG
Molecule: ribosomal RNA, 495 nt
Filed under: uncultured bacterium
Lineage: Bacteria
Description: partial 16S ribosomal RNA
Rfam family: Bacterial small subunit ribosomal RNA
Source: RNAcentral